This is a long non-coding RNA of Struthio camelus australis, 1747 nucleotides long. The record is from Ensembl. Lineage: Eukaryota; Metazoa; Chordata; Aves; Struthioniformes; Struthionidae.
CAAAUAUUUCCUAGCUCUGGCAGGGCAGAUGGUGGAAAGUAAUUUUCCAAAACUCUUUUAGAAAAAGGGGGGGAAAAACACCCAAAUCACCCCAAAUCACCCCCCCCCCCAACUUGAAGAAUUAGGGAUUUCAGCGUGCAGGCAUGCCUUACAGUUUCUCUCUCUUUGGUUGUACAAGGCUGUAUGGCAGAGUGGUGGGAAGUGUGCAUGAAUGGGAAUGUAUCAUAUUACAUGUGGGAUGUUAGCAAGGCUGGGAUUUUUUUCACAGGAAACUGCAUUUGCAAGGAGCAUUCAGCAACACGCAGUCCCUUAAGAGACGUAGGUGAAGGAGUGAGCAAGACGCACUUUCCCAGACCUCGCAGGAAGCCAGCGCCUACGGGACUCAGGACUCACGGGGCGGGAGGGCCGAGCCUGGGCCUCGCGCUGCUGGGCCCGGCCAGCCCGGCGUGAAGGCGUGAGACCACAACUGCGUUCCUCACGCUCUCCUUCCCCGCUGCCCUGCCCGUUACCAGGGCGGGCGGGGGGACGUCAAAGCGUUCAGACAGCGGUGGGGGAAACAGCCCUGACGGCGUUUCCCUCCCGCUCCUCGGUGGAUCCAGGGAGUGCACGAGCUCGGGCCGGAUUUAGCUCUUGGAUCCACAGGAAACAUCUCUGCGCUGACUGCUCCCGUCCUUCGCCCUCAGCCCUGCAAGUCGCACGCGCAAGGGGAACAAAAAACCGGGGUCAACGCGCGGCAGGCAGAGCGGAGGGCGCAACGCGGGCGGCCGAAAGAGCGGGGCUCUGCUUACUGCCGCCCCGGGGGCGUUCGCUCCCGGCGCUCGGAGCUGCUCUCCUCCUCCCCCCUUGCAGAGUUGUAAGCCCCUCUCCCGGCGCUGGCCGGGAGCCUGCAGAGACGAGCAGCGGGCAGCAUCGAUGCAGCAGGACCGCUGGUAAGUUCGACUCAGUCAUCGCAAUCGGUUUGAUUCCCGAUUAUUCUGCUCCGGAAUCAAGCUUCCUCUGGGGAUUGAAACCUUGGGAGGGAGUUAACAGCUCCUUACAGUUGAGCCGGGCUGAAACAACCACUUUUAACGUCUGCGGUUCGCCUGUGAGCCGAGCGGGUGACGAUACAGCGCAUCUGGGGAUCCAAAUACUGCAGGAACUCUCUCUUUCAAACAAAAGGGGGAAAAAAAGCCCGCCGAUAAAGUAGCAGCCGUAGCGUUUGGGACUAUCAGCGAGGAGACGGGGUGGUUGGCUUUAGCACGAACGACUAAUCGCUCCGUUGAAAUCAUGUCAGCAGCUGAGUAAAUAGCCUUUCGGGAAAAGACAUUUAUGGCAGUGUUUGUGUUUCCAGGACCCGGCCUCUGUCCGGGCCCUCCUAGCAGGCAGAGCAGCCGCUGCCGAGCGUGCCCCGGCUUUAAUGUCAUGCACCGGGCCACAAAAGCCCUUUUCAGCUGAGAACAGGAGGCGCGUCAGAAGUCACUGGGCGAUGAUGUCACGGGUUGGUGUCUGCUUUGCACCGCAGAAGCACAAAAUAGGGUUACGGGCCUGUAGGGCACUGAACACUGGCGUGGCGGGAGCAUGUGCACGCAGUGUGGGGCCCUGCGCCCGUGCGCUGCAGUGCAAUGCAGCGCAGCGAGGUGCAGUGCAGCGCAGAGCGGUGCAGUAAGUGCAGUGCAGCUGGGAGCAGUGCAGUGGGGCGAGGUGCGGUGCAGGGUAGCGCAGCGUGGUGCAGGGUGGUGCGGUGCAGUGCGGUGCGGUGCAGCCUGCG